RNAcentral lists this ribosomal RNA (497 nucleotides) under uncultured bacterium. RNAcentral describes it as "partial 16S ribosomal RNA". It matches the Rfam family "Bacterial small subunit ribosomal RNA", at positions 28 to 507 of the family's 1533-position model. The record is from RNAcentral.
GAUGAACGCUGGCGGCGUGCCUAAUACAUGCAAGUCGAGCGAACAGAUGAGGAGCUUGCUCCUCUGACGUUAGCGGCGGACGGGUGAGUAACACGUGGAUAACCUACCUAUAAGACUGGGAUAACUUCGGGAAACCGGAGCUAAUACCGGAUAAUAUAUUGACCCGCAUGGUUCACUAGUGAAAGACGGUUUUGCUGUCACUUAUAGAUGGAUCCGCGCGGCAUUAGCUAGUUGGUAAGGUAACGGCUUACCAAGGCAACGAUGCGUAGCCGACCUGAGAGGGUGGUCGGCCACACUGGAACUGAGACACGGUCCAGACUCCUACGGGAGGCAGCAGUAGGGAAUCUUCCGCAAUGGGCGAAAGCCUGACGGAGCAACGCCGCGUGAGUGAUGAAGGUCUUCGGAUCGUAAAACUCUGUUAUUAGGGAAGAACAAAUGUGUAAGUAACUAUGCACGUCUUGACGGUACCUAAUCAGAAAGCCACGGCUAACUACGUG